AGAGUUUGAUCCUGGCUCAGAUUGAACGCUGGCGGCAGGCCUAACACAUGCAAGUCGAACGGUAACAGGAAGAAGCUUGCUUCUUUGCUGACGAGUGGCGGACGGGUGAGUAAUGUCUGGGAAACUGCCUGAUGGAGGGGGAUAACUACUGGAAACGGUAGCUAAUACCGCAUAACGUCGCAAGACCAAAGAGGGGGACCUUCGGGCCUCUUGCCAUCGGAUGUGCCCAGAUGGGAUUAGCUAGUAGGUGGGGUAACGGCUCACCUAGGCGACGAUCCCUAGCUGGUCUGAGAGGAUGACCAGCCACACUGGAACUGAGACACGGUCCAGACUCCUACGGGAGGCAGCAGUGGGGAAUAUUGCACAAUGGGCGCAAGCCUGAUGCAGCCAUGCCGCGUGUAUGAAGAAGGCCUUCGGGUUGUAAAGUACUUUCAGCGGGGAGGAAGGGAGUAAAGUUAAUACCUUUGCUCAUUGACGUUACCCGCAGAAGAAGCACCGGCUAACUCCGUGCCAGCAGCCGCGGUAAUACGGAGGGUGCAAGCGUUUAUCGGAA
This 553-nucleotide ribosomal RNA is filed under the name Geobacillus sp. Y2-2. RNAcentral's name for it is "bacterial SSU rRNA". It matches the Rfam family "Bacterial small subunit ribosomal RNA", at positions 8 to 550 of the family's 1533-position model. Lineage: Bacteria; Bacillati; Bacillota; Bacilli; Caryophanales; Anoxybacillaceae. The record is from RNAcentral.